CGGGGUGCAGCAGGCGCGAAAACUCUACAAUGCAGGCAACUGCGAUAGGGGAACAUCGAGUGAUCCUCAUAUUGGGGGUCUGUCCACCCGUCUAAAAACGGGUGUUAGCAAGGGCCGGGCAAGACCGGUGCCAGCCGCCGCGGUAAUACCGGCGGCUCGAGUGGUGGCCGAUAUUAUUGAGUCUAAAGGGUCCGUAGCCGGCUUUGCAAGUCUCUCGGGAAAUCCAGCGGCUUAACCGUUGGUCGUCCGGGGGGUACUACAUUGCUUGGGACUGGGAGAGGUAGGAGGUACUCAGGGGGUAGGAGUGAAAUCCUGUAAUCCUUUGGGGACCACCGGUGGCGAAGGCGUCCUACCAGAACAGGUCCGACGGUGAGGGACGAAAGCUAGGGGCACGAACCGGAUUAGAUACCCGGGUAGUCCUAGCCGUAAACGAUGCUCGCUAGGUGUCACAACAGUCGUGAACUGUUGUGGUGCCGUAGGGAAGCCGUGAAGCGAGCCACUUGGGAAGUACGACCGCAAGGUUAAACUUAAAGGAAUCGGCGGGGGAGCA
RNAcentral lists this ribosomal RNA (550 nucleotides) under uncultured archaeon. Its description in RNAcentral is "bacterial SSU rRNA". It matches the Rfam family "Archaeal small subunit ribosomal RNA", at positions 326 to 878 of the family's 1478-position model. The record is from RNAcentral.